Molecule: transfer RNA, 76 nt
Filed under: Bacteroidetes bacterium GWF2_41_31
Lineage: Bacteria; Pseudomonadati; Bacteroidota
Also listed under: 4 other names
Description: tRNA-Gln
Rfam family: tRNA
About the family: Transfer RNA (tRNA) molecules are approximately 80 nucleotides in length.
Source: RNAcentral
UGCCUGAUGGUGUAACUGGCAACACGUCUGACUCUGAAUCAGAAGAGUCUAGGUUCGACCCCUAGUCAGGCAACAA